Molecule: long non-coding RNA, 1114 nt
Organism: Lolium rigidum
Lineage: Eukaryota; Viridiplantae; Streptophyta; Magnoliopsida; Poales; Poaceae
Exons: 4
Source: RefSeq, a predicted model, not a curated record
GCUCGCAACACCUAUGCUCCUGGCGACUACCACCUAUUGAUGUCGCCUGCGUGGCCGGGGCCUCACCACCGUGGUGCGGUGGUAGGCUGUGGCUGCCCUCUCCUCUUCAGCAACCUCGAUGGCUUGCUCCACGGCUAGAACUAUAAUAUGUAAGCACAAGCUUCCCAGGAAGAAAUACUUUAGAGGAGAGGACAACAUUUGUGCUUAUGUGUGAGGAAAGGAUGCACAAGGAGGGGGCCAUUGUGUAGUUUUGCCUGGACGAUGAUAUGGGUCAUGUGCCCGCCCUUGUGCUGCUAUAUCUAUGUUGGUCAACAACUACAAUCCAUCAACGAGUGGAUCAGAGUCCAUGGGUGGUGCCGGCGAAUUCACCGCCUCUACUAUGUGAGCAGAUUUUAUAGAGGCCAUUACAUAGGGUCUGAUUUCAUAUAUGAUUUUGCUAGCGCGGAUACAACGAGGAGAAGUAGUUCAAGGAUUACCUUACUGAUCAAGGAAUGCUAGCUGGAUUCUUAGUGUGCAAUGCACCAUUGGAUGCUUGUCUCGGGUCCUCCUGCCUUUGUCAGUUUUUCUUAUCUUGCAAGGUAAUGGAAAGAUACGAAUCUACCGUCUUGAUUUUUCUGGUACCUGAAGGUGUAUACUGAUCGCGAUAGAUUAUUAUUUUGAUAUGUACUUGUUCCGAUACCACUGAAGCAAUACCUUAUGACACUUGUGUUGUUUAGAAAAAUUAUUUGAAAGUGUUGAUGAUGAGUUCUGGUAGAAGCAUUGUCCUUGUCUUUCGAUAACUGGAAAUGCAUCGACAAGCAUGUGAGUUAUCCUACUCUAUUUUUUUUUGGCUUGCUGAUCCGGGAGCCAGCUAGUUUUUUUAUAUAUCACUUCCUCUUAGAUCCUGGAAUAAAUUAACUCUCUGUUCAUUACUUCUACCAUACAUGUUGCCGAGAAACCUUUUGAUAGCUUAAAAAUGGCAAGAAAAUUUGUUCUCUGUUCUACAUUUUACUUAACAGUGAUAAUAAUCAUGUUAAUGCCUCGUGAACCAUACAUUGAAUUCAGUUUCACCCUAUCAAAAAUAUGUAGAGCAAUUGUUUUAAUAGCUACGAACUCUGAAUCUAGAGGUGACAUA